GCGGGGGUUGUUGAGCCCGGUCAAAAACGUGGGACUUAAGAUCCCAUCCCUUUGGGGUUCGUGGGUUCAAAUCCCACCCCCCGCA
This 85-nucleotide transfer RNA is filed under the name Nitrososphaerota archaeon. RNAcentral describes it as "tRNA-Leu". It matches the Rfam family "tRNA". Rfam says of the family: Transfer RNA (tRNA) molecules are approximately 80 nucleotides in length. Their secondary structure includes four short double-helical elements and three loops (D, anti-codon, and T loops). Further hydrogen bonds mediate the characteristic L-shaped molecular structure. tRNAs have two regions of fundamental functional importance: the anti-codon, which is responsible for specific mRNA codon recognition, and the 3' end, to which the tRNAs corresponding amino acid is attached (by aminoacyl-tRNA synthetases). tRNAs cope with the degeneracy of the genetic code in two manners: having more than one tRNA (with a specific anti-codon) for a particular amino acid; and 'wobble' base-pairing, i.e. permitting non-standard base-pairing at the 3rd anti-codon position. Lineage: Archaea; Thermoproteati; Nitrososphaerota. The record is from RNAcentral.